Molecule: long non-coding RNA, 4864 nt
Filed under: Sus scrofa (pig)
Lineage: Eukaryota; Metazoa; Chordata; Mammalia; Artiodactyla; Suidae
Description: lncRNA (ENSSSCG00040032905.1)
Source: RNAcentral
CUCAAAUGUCUUUUUUUAGUGAUUUCUAGAAUUAUUCCGUUGUGGUUGGAAAACAUACUUUGUAUUAUUUCAGCCCUUCUAAAUGUAUUGUAGUCUGUUUCAUAGCCUGGAGUUUGGGCUAUCCUGGAGAAUGGUUCAUCCUGGGAACCUCCAUAUGCCGCAGGUGAAGCCCUAGAAAAGGCAAAAGACAAAGACAAAAAACAAAAAAAGAAAGAAAGAAACAGGAUUCAAACCCAAGUCUCAGAGAUGCACGGCCAUAGUUCCUUCACUCUGUGCUUCUCUGGCUGAGUGGAUGUUGGGGUCAUGGGAUAGACAAUGGCCAGAGAAUAGAAAGAUAGUUUCCAGGAGAGAUGAAUGGCUGCAUUUUUUUCUUCCUUCAGCAUGAUCCUCCAGUUUUCCACGUAGUUGUUUUGAUGGUUUUGAGAAAUCCAGGGUUGCCUGUGGCUGCCCAUCCCUGGACCUUCCCCCUAGACCACUGCAGCUUGUAGAGAUGGGUACAGAGCAGGGGGCUCUGUGAGCCACGUGCACAGUGCACAUACAUGGAGCUCCAAGUGUGUGUGCCACAUGUACACCCCUCUCUGGUUUGUGGGUGCACACGCUCACCAGGGGCUCUGCUGCUGCCAGGCCGCAGGGAGCCUCCAGGUUGACAGGAAGCUCCAGGAACCCGCCUUCCUUGGGUCCCAGGCAGGUUUAAGGAGCAGCUGCUGCCCUCGACCACCUGCUUCCCUGCCAGUCGACUUCAAAUGGAACUGGCAGCUCGUCCCAAGGUGUGUGCCUGGGAGAAAAACCUGUGUGUGUCGUUCCUUUGGGUGCUGUGUGCACACCUGCACAUCUGCAGACGUGUGCUCGCCCAGGCCAGGUUCGGGGCCCCUGGCUCAGCACCCCUUUGUAGGCAGAAUAAGGAGGCUUUGCUCCAUGGCUUCCACACAGCAGUCUCCCAUGGUAUACCUUCCAAUCCUGCGAUCCUGACCUUCUGGGCUUCUGGAUGUCAGGCAGGUGUGGAGAGACCGUCCAAGACCUGUAAGAAAGACAUGUGGGUGGGCUCCUGGGACUGGGGACAGUGGGCUUCUGGGGGGGCUUGUCUUGGGUCCUUGUACCAAGCUCUUCCAUGGUGCUAUCCCUAGGGAGGAAGACAUGGCCUCAUGGGGAUCUGGCCAGUGUCAGGGGACAUAGUGCUUCUCUGGGGUUCAGAGACCCUCUCAGGGAGCAUGGCCCAGUCCCAGGAUUGAGAAGGUGCUGGGAGAGCUUCUGGAGGUACCCACUCCCCACCCAUCUCUCCAAGUUGGCCUCAGGCUUCCCCCAGCACUGGACUUGAAACCGAGAGGUCUGAGCUCUGCCCUGCGCCUCAUGGGUUGUACAAUGCUGGAGGUCCUCUCACCUGCCCUGGACACCCCGCUAAUCAGCUGCUGUGCACACUGUAAAGCAGGACCACGGAGGGCUUGGGGCAGCUUUCCUCCCACUCCAGCCUCUUCCCCUCCCUCCUGGGUUUUCUCUCUCUUUAGAUGCAACACCUCCUUCCUUCUGGGCUCUGAAGAAUUGUUCCGGGGCCUCUCAGGCAACUUGGAACUGUGGGUGAGCCUUGGGCCUGAGCGCACAGGGCCUGGCUGUUUCUAGCUUGGCCCUUCCUGCAAUGAGAGCCGUUUGCUUACCCACAGGGGUGUGUGUGUGUGUGUGUGUGUGUGUGUGUGUGUGUAAUUGCAGCACCACACCAAGGUAUCUGGCCCCACCUCCACAUCAGCUCUGGGGUGGACCCUGUCCCCAGAGGCAGCUUGUGCAGGCUCAGGUGACAGUUUUAUAGGUGACUCCUGACUCCUGAGGGCAGGCCCCUGAAAAAGGAGCUGGGUAGAUUGUUAUCAUGAGGCUGUCCCAUCCAUCAGCUGCCUGCUGCCCAGUGCCGGCCAGUCCUCGUCCCAUAUAUCACUGCCAGCUGCAGGGCACUGCCAUCACCCCCUGCUGCCCUCCCCUGCCCUGCUGUCCCCCAAUCAGAGCCAGAGCUGCCACCAGCAAAGGGGACCCCCGGCCCAACCCCGCAGCCAGGCAGGAUGGUUGAGCCUUGAUCCAUGGCUUGCCCUCCCCGAGGGCUACCCCAAGUCCCAUUGAUUAUACCAUCUGUCUGUCUCUGGAACCCCUCCACCUUUCUCCUCUCUGCCACCACACCAGCCUCUCACCAGCCAUGUGGCCAUGGCCCCCUAACUGGUGUCCUCAUGUCUCUCUCACCCAAUUCAACCCAUUCUCUCUACCCAGCCAGAGACUUUCUUAAAAUGCCAGGCUAACCUUGCGCAGCUGAUUAAAAACCCUUCCCUGGCUUCCUGUGAGUCCUAUACUAAAAUCCACCCUGCAGUGUCGUCCCAGGGCCCAGUGUGGGCUGGCCUCCGCUGCCCUCUGAGCCUUAAGCCCUCCGUGCUUCCUGUCAUUACAGCUCUUGGCACAAGCUCCCCAGUCCACACAGAUCCCUCCCCACUUUACCUUCCCCUGCCUCUUCCUGUGCUUCCCGGGGCCUCCUCCCCUGCCACCUGGUCACAUGCUCCCAAAAUACAGGGCUCUGUCUUCCAGAGCACAUCCCUCAGUGUGUAGGUUGAUGUUCAAGUGUGUUACUUUUAUCUGUUCGUUCUGCGUGUGUUUGUGGGUCACCUCCUAUGUGCCAGGCACUGCUUCAAGCACUGGGGCCAGUCCACGGCAAACAGGAAAGACCAGGGAAGAGUAAGGCUCAUGUAGCGUGAGAUGACAUAUGGUAAAGACAUAGAUACAAACGGAUGCACGUGGUGCGAGGCUUAUCUGAGACAGUCUCUUAGAGGCAGUGGCGACUUGAAUCGAGACAGAUGGAGCAGGGAACAAGUGAUCGGGAGAGCUGGUGGAGGGCGCUUCUGGCCAAGGGACCAGUCAGAGCAAAGGCCCUGAGGUGAGGCAAGGAUGUGCUUGGCCGUUCGAGGAAGAGCAAGACGGCCACAGUGGCUCUCCUGACAGCUCCAGCCCAGAGGGAGAGCUGGUUGGGAGGAGAGGGGCUGAGGCCCCGGGGGUGAGCGCGUCCCCAGUGCUGCUCUCGCUUCUCCCACCUCCUCCCCCAGCUGGGCAGCCCUCCUCCAGGGGGGACAUAGACGGAUGCUUGUCUUGAGGGUCCCCCUCCCCUCUCCCUCUCCCUGCCCCUCGGAACACUCGCGCGGCAGGGACAGGAAGUGUCGGUCCUUGAUUCCCAGCUGCCUGGGUGGGACGCCGCUGAGCCGGCCGGGCUGCCGGAGGAGGGACAGAGGCCCUAUUGAGACUGCUUUCUGGACGGGCAGGGACAAUAGCCACACUGAGGACCAGGAACAUCGCCGGCAUGCUUGUCCAGGAAGUCACCAGCCCGCUGCCUGCCCCCUCCCCCUGCCUCCCCAAGCCCUCCUGACUUUCUCCUUGAGCUGCUUAUUUCAGGAUGAUAGUAAUGUCCAAAAUGGUCACUUUGUCCUUUUCCUCCUCCCCAGGGGCUCCCUGCUCUGUGCCAGACCCCUGCUGGGCUUGGGGACCAGUGAGGAAUCCUGUAUGAUCUCUGGGAGCGGGGAGGGGAGGAGGCAACAGACACACAAACUGAGUGGGGCCUCCUCAGUGCUUCCUGCAGAGACAAAGGACAGGGUGUCCACAGGGGCCCAGGGGAUGUCUGAUCAGGAAGGCUUCUUAGAAGAACAGUCACAGUUCUAAAGUGUUUCUGCAACCAGGGUCUCAAGGCACCACAGCCAUGUGGCCCAGGCGGGGCAAGACUAGCUCUGUUACACACCCGGCAGAAGCAAUGGUCUCUGCCUUACAGCAAGCUAAGGCCUAUGCUAGACAUGACCUCUGUCUGCUUCUUCAGCCUGUGUACUGGCUACUCGUGGAACAUUUGCACCAGAAAGUUCUUUAGGGAUCAUCUAGGCCUGGAAUGCCAACACAAGUCACGUGUGCCUGUCCUCCCCUAGCCACGGCCAUGGCAAGGCAGCUAUCACCAAAAUCACACCAUUCUUGCCUAUCGAGCUAGGAUGCUGCAGCAGAAUCUUUCUCAACACAGUGCUCUGCUAUCAAUAAUUGGACACCCAAGAGGAAGUAUUUACCUUUCCGGCCAUGUCCUCAUUGACAGAAGGAAAAACUGAGAUCCAGGCGGGGAAGGGGCUUGUCCCAGGACACAGAGCAUGUUGGCAGCAGCAUGUUGGGGCUGGGGUUGGGUUGGGCAUGUGUAAAGAAACACCCACCUUAGAAUGUAAAUUGGUGCAGCCACUGUGGUAAACAGUAUGGAAAUUUCUCAAAAAAACUGAAAAUAGAACUAACACCUGAACCAGCAAUUCCAUUCCUGGGUGUAUAUCUGAAAAAACAAAAAACAAAAAUUCUAAUUCAAAAAGACACAUGCAUCCCAAUGUUCAUGGCAGUCUUAUUUACAAUUGCCAAGAUAUGACUUCAAUUAAACUUAAAAAAAUUGCCAAGAUAUAGCAGCAACCUGAGUGUCCGUCAACAGAUAAAUAAAAAAGGAUGAAAUUUAGCCAUAAAAACUAUAAAGCCAUAAAAAACUCAGCCAUCAAAAAGAAUGAAAUGUAGCCAUUUGCAGCAACACGCAUGGACCUGUAGGGCAUUAUGCUAAGUGAAAUAAGUCAGACAGAGAAAGACAACCUCUGUAUGGUAUCACAGGUGGAAUCCAAAAAAUACAACAAACUAGUGAAUAUAUCAAAAAAAGAAGCAGACUCCCAGAUACAGAAGACAAACUAGUGGUUAAUGGGGGGAGGGGGAGAUACAGGGAUGGGGGAGCUGGAGGCACAAACUAUUGUUAUUGUGUGUUACACAGGCUCAAGGAUACACCAUGUAACAAGGAACAUGUCCAAUAUUUUGUAAUAACUGUAAAUGGAACAUAACUUAAAAAUUGUAUAAA